Schistocerca gregaria is the source of this 74-nucleotide non-coding RNA. Lineage: Eukaryota; Metazoa; Arthropoda; Insecta; Orthoptera; Acrididae. The record is from the annotation of a RefSeq genome assembly.
GCCUCGGUGGCUCAGGUGGAUAGAGCGUCUGCCAUGAAAGCAAGAGAUCCCGGGUUCGAGUCCUGGUCGGGGCA